CCUGGUUUGCCUGGGACUGAGGGGUUUCCCAGGAUUUGAGACUUUUGGUGCUAAAACUAGGACAGUU
RNAcentral lists this microRNA precursor (67 nucleotides) under Vicugna pacos (alpaca). RNAcentral describes it as "miRNA (ENSVPAG00000017720.1)". The record is from RNAcentral. Lineage: Eukaryota; Metazoa; Chordata; Mammalia; Artiodactyla; Camelidae.